This 253-nucleotide ribosomal RNA is filed under the name uncultured bacterium. RNAcentral describes it as "partial 16S ribosomal RNA". It matches the Rfam family "Bacterial small subunit ribosomal RNA", at positions 524 to 776 of the family's 1533-position model. The record is from RNAcentral.
UACGGGGGGGGCAAGCGUUGUUCGGAAUUACUGGGCGUAAAGGGCUCGUAGGCGGCCAACUAAGUCAGACGUGAAAUCCCUCGGCUUAACCGGGGAACUGCGUCUGAUACUGGAUGGCUUGAGGUUGGGAGAGGGAUGCGGAAUUCCAGGUGUAGCGGUGAAAUGCGUAGAUAUCGAGAGGAACACCUGCGGCGAAGGCGGGUUGCUGGGCCGACACUGACGCUGAUGCGCGAAAGCCAGGGGAGCGAACGGG